Molecule: long non-coding RNA, 323 nt
Filed under: Linum usitatissimum (flax)
Lineage: Eukaryota; Viridiplantae; Streptophyta; Magnoliopsida; Malpighiales; Linaceae
Description: long non-coding RNA (LUSI_LNC001072)
Source: RNAcentral
UGACAUCUGGACUUGGAAGCUGACUGGCUGUAUUUAAAACUUGAGUUUGAAUCUUGAUUUGUAUUAGGAGGCAAUCAUGUGAGCUACUGUCAGUUGAUCGAGUGGAUGUAGCUCAAAAUGAGAUUCGGACUUGUUCCUUUUGUCAAUGUUCUCCACUUGUCCUCUACAAGGGAGCGUGAUUAACAUUCAUGUUGGUCCAAUGCGGUACCUUUGUAAUGACAGGAGUACGUGGUGGAAGAUCGAGACGCCAGCAAGAAUGUGCCUGAACUUGAUGACAGCCAUAUUGCGGAACUAAGGAUGUUAGGCCUCUACUAAUUUUGAGG